AUUUCAAAGUUGUGCGGAUACAUUUAAUCAAAAUUGAAGUUAGUGAUCUAUAAAUAGACAGUCAAAACUCGUAGAUGCAUGAAACAGUUAGUUUGUUUGUAAUUUUGCAGUUAAAUUUAUUUGUGAUUUUUGGACUGAUUAUUUUGUUUGCAAAGUUAAAUUCAUUAAUUUGAAUAACAUAAAUUUCAUUGUACUAAUGCUUGUAAAGAUGCAUCACAUAGAA
RNAcentral lists this unclassified non-coding RNA (223 nucleotides) under Hevea brasiliensis (rubber tree). The record is from RNAcentral. Lineage: Eukaryota; Viridiplantae; Streptophyta; Magnoliopsida; Malpighiales; Euphorbiaceae.